This 384-nucleotide ribosomal RNA is filed under the name uncultured bacterium. Its description in RNAcentral is "bacterial SSU rRNA". It matches the Rfam family "Bacterial small subunit ribosomal RNA", at positions 29 to 416 of the family's 1533-position model. The record is from RNAcentral.
AUUGAACGCUGGCGGCAUGCUUUACACAUGCAAGUCGAACGGUAACAGGCCGCAAGGUGCUGACGAGUGGCGAACGGGUGAGUAAUGCAUCGGAACGUGCCCAGUCGUGGGGGAUAACGCAGCGAAAGCUGUGCUAAUACCGCAUACGAUCUAUGGAUGAAAGCGGGGGACCGUAAGGCCUCGCGCGAUUGGAGCGGCCGAUGUCAGAUUAGGUAGUUGGUGGGGUAAAGGCUCACCAAGCCAACGAUCUGUAGCUGGUCUGAGAGGACGACCAGCCACACUGGGACUGAGACACGGCCCAGACUCCUACGGGAGGCAGCAGUGGGGAAUUUUGGACAAUGGGCGCAAGCCUGAUCCAGCAAUGCCGCGUGCAGGAAGAAGGCC